GGCGCCGGAGGGCCCGGCGCCGGCCCCGCCGCACGGCCCGGCGCCGACCCGGUGAGCGAGGGCUCGGCGCUCACCGGCGCCC
RNAcentral lists this transfer RNA (82 nucleotides) under Couchioplanes azureus. Its description in RNAcentral is "Couchioplanes caeruleus subsp. azureus tRNA-Pro". Lineage: Bacteria; Bacillati; Actinomycetota; Actinomycetes; Micromonosporales; Micromonosporaceae. The record is from RNAcentral.